UACGUAGGUGGCAAGCGUUGUCCGGAAUUAUAGGGCGUAAAGCGCGCGCAGGCGGUUAUGUAAGUCUGAUGUUAAAGCCCGGGGCUCAACCUCGGUUCGCAUUGGAAACUGCGUAACUUGAGUGCAGAAGAGGAAAGUGGUAUUCCACGUGUAGCGGUGAAAUGCGUAGAUAUGUGGAGGAACACCAGUGGCGAAGGCGCCUUUCUGGUCUGUAACUGACGCUGAGGCGCGAAAGCGUGGGGAGCAAACAGG
Molecule: ribosomal RNA, 252 nt
Filed under: uncultured bacterium
Lineage: Bacteria
Description: partial 16S ribosomal RNA
Rfam family: Bacterial small subunit ribosomal RNA
Source: RNAcentral